CUGCGUACCUUUUGUAUAAUGGGUCAGCGACUUAUAUUCUGUAGCAAGGUUAACCGAAUAGGGGAGCCGAAGGGAAACCGAGUCUUAACUGGGCGUUAAGUUGCAGGGUAUAGACCCGAAACCCGGUGAUCUAGCCAUGGGCAGGUUGAAGGUUGGGUAACACUAACUGGAGGACCGAACCGACUAAUGUUGAAAAAUUAGCGGAUGACUUGUGGCUGGGGGUGAAAGGCCAAUCAAACCGGGAGAUAGCUGGUUCUCCCCGAAAGCUAUUUAGGUAGCGCCUCGUGAAUUCAUCUCCGGGGGUAGAGCACUGUUUCGGCAAGGGGGUCAUCCCGACUUACCAACCCGAUGCAAACUGCGAAUACCGGAGAAUGUUAUCACGGGAGACACACGGCGGGUGCUAACGUCCGUCGUGAAGAGGGAAACAACCCAGACCGCCAGCUAAGGUCCCAAAGUCAUGGUUAAGUGGGAAACGAUGUGGGAAGGCCCAGACAGCCAGGAUGUUGGCUUAGAAGCAGCCAUCAUUUAAAGAAAGCGUAAUAGCUCACUGGUCGAGUCGGCCUGCGCGGAAGAUGUAACGGGGCUAAACCAUGCACCGAAGCUGCGGCAGCGACGCUUAUGCGUUGUUGGGUAGGGGAGCGUUCUGUAAGCCUGCGAAGGUGUGCUGUGAGGCAUGCUGGAGGUAUCAGAAGUGCGAAUGCUGACAUAAGUAACGAUAAAGCGGGUGAAAAGCCCGCUCGCCGGAAGACCAAGGGUUCCUGUCCAACGUUAAUCGGGGCAGGGUGAGUCGACCCCUAAGGCGAGGCCGAAAGGCGUAGUCGAUGGGAAACAGGUUAAUAUUCCUGUACUUGGUGUUACUGCGAAGGGGGGACGGAGAAGGCUAUGUUGGCCGGGCGACGGUUGUCCCGGUUUAAGCGUGUAGGCUGGUUUUCCAGGCAAAUCCGGAAAACUAAGGCUGAGGCGUGAUGACGAGGCACUACGGUGCUGAAGCAACAAAUGCCCUGCUUCCAGGAAAAGCCUCUAAGCAUCAGGUAACAUCAAAUCGUACCCCAAACCGACACAGGUGGUCAGGUAGAGAAUACCAAGGCGCUUGAGAGAACUCGGGUGAAGGAACUAGGCAAAAUGGUGCCGUAACUUCGGGAGAAGGCACGCUGAUAUGUAGGUGAAGUCCCUCGCGGAUGGAGCUGAAAUCAGUCGAAGAUACCAGCUGGCUGCAACUGUUUAUUAAA
This 1229-nucleotide ribosomal RNA is filed under the name Escherichia coli. RNAcentral describes it as "partial 23S ribosomal RNA". It matches the Rfam family "Bacterial large subunit ribosomal RNA", at positions 597 to 1811 of the family's 2925-position model. Lineage: Bacteria; Pseudomonadati; Pseudomonadota; Gammaproteobacteria; Enterobacterales; Enterobacteriaceae. The record is from RNAcentral.